CACGUAGGGCGCAAGCGUUGUCCGGAAUUAUUGGGCGUAAAGAGCUCGUAGGCGGCCUGUUACGUCUGCUGUGAAAUCCCGGGGCUUAACCCCGGGCGUGCAGUGGAUACGGGCAGGCUGGAGGCAGGCAGGGGAGAACGGAAUUCCCGGUGUAGCGGUGAAAUGCGCAGAUAUCGGGAGGAACACCGGUGGCGAAGGCGGUUCUCUGGGCCUUACCUGACACUGAGGAGCGAAAGCGUGGGGAGCGAACAGG
Molecule: ribosomal RNA, 253 nt
Filed under: uncultured bacterium
Lineage: Bacteria
Description: partial 16S ribosomal RNA
Rfam family: Bacterial small subunit ribosomal RNA
Source: RNAcentral